This 324-nucleotide ribosomal RNA is filed under the name uncultured eukaryote. RNAcentral's name for it is "partial 18S ribosomal RNA". It matches the Rfam family "Eukaryotic small subunit ribosomal RNA", at positions 1470 to 1796 of the family's 1831-position model. The record is from RNAcentral.
CCCUUAGAUGUCCUGGGCUGCACGCGCGCUACACUGAUGUGUCCAGUAAGCACCUAACCUCUUCCGAAAGGAACGGGUAACCUUUGCAAAGCACAUCGUGAUGGGGAUAGAUUAUUGCAAUUAUUAGUCUUGAACGAGGAAUUCCUAGUAAGCACAAGUCAUCAGCUUGUGUUGAUUACGUCCCUGCCCUUUGUACACACCGCCCGUCGCUCCUACCGAUUGAAUGUUCCGGUGAGCUCUUCGUACUGCGCGGUCUGCAGUUUCUGCGUUCCGUGCGGAAAGUUGCGCAAACCUUAACAUUUAGAGGAAGGAGAAGUCGUAACA